Cydia strobilella is the source of this 97-nucleotide small nuclear RNA. The record is from RefSeq and is a predicted model, not a curated record. NCBI's taxonomy places the organism in Eukaryota, Metazoa, Arthropoda, Insecta, Lepidoptera, Tortricidae.
GUACUUGCUUCGGCAGUACAUAUACUAAAAUUGGAAAGAUACAGAGAAGAUUAGCAUGGCCCCUGCGCAAAAAAAAAAUGAAAAAUAUAAUUUUAUU